AGGAUCUGGCCUUCAGUGUGUAGAAACAGCAAGAGUUUGACAAUGAAAUCGGUGCAAGUCUGCUCAAAAAGCUGUUUAAUAAUUUGCCUUCAGGCAAAAACAUUUUAAAAGAGAGGGGGCAUCACUGUGCAGCAGCAAAAUGAUGGGCAAAAGACCUGUUUGCCCUCACGAGUGGGUCUGUUUGCAUGGGGUAGAGGAAAGGGUUUGAACAAUCCUUCGAUUUUUUUCAUUUUGUUUGGACACUGCCUAGUACAAAUGGGCUUGGGCAAGAGAAAUAAAGGCUACAAAAAUCCCAGGGCCCCGUAGGUCAGCAAGAGUGCAUGGAGAUAUUUAGGUCUUCUCUGGGGUAAGAGAAUCGAGGAAGGUUCAUGGGGAAGCCAAAAGACAGUGAUGUUUUUGGGGAUGAUGGGAGGGAGAGAAAUCAGAGGAUAUCAUGCAAAAAGGCUCUGAGGCAGCCAAAGGAGCUGGACACAGGCAGGAACAGAGAAAUCCCCGAGGGCAUCUCGACAGCUCCGCUGGCUGCUUGGGGCAGAUGGUUCAAUGCUGGACUCAGACAUGGGAUGAGAACGCUGAGGGCUGGCAUUUUUGUUGAGCCCAGAGAAAAUGAGCAACGGAGGUGCCACUGGGCUCAACGAUGCACCAAAGAAUUGAGAGAGAUGGAGGCUUUGCAAAAAGGGAAUGAGAGUCUGGAACAGGCUGAGCUGCCGGUGGAACUGCGGUCUGCUGGGGCAGAGCCAGACCGUGUCCAGGCGCCCCGGGUGAGGCUCAGCCGCAGCACGGCUCCUCUGGAAACAGGGACGGGAAGGUGGCCCAGUCAUCAGAGCCCGAUGGGUGAGACAAGUCCUCAUAAAAAUAUGAGCCAGCAGGAAAGCUUCAGCAACCCAGAAUAAGAGGCGCAGAAAGGAAUAAAAAUGCCGAAAAAUCACCUUGAGCAGAGGCUCCUGAACCACACUGGAAGACAGCCUUUGCGUGGGACAGGGCCAGCCCAAGGACUUGGCACUUCUCGACUCUCUUUGGGGCCCACUGGGACUCAGACAGGAGACGAAAAAUUUUGUCAGCUCAAUUACUGCAGCCUCCUCCUCCCUUAUCCCCACUUUCAAGAAGAAAACAUGCCAGGAGUCGUCUUUGGCUGCCUUCAAGUCCACGUGCCUGCCAAGGAGCCACACGGGCUGCUUCACGGGGCUGUCUUGAGCAGACACACGUUAACGGAGCUGCAGGAUUUACCCUCUGAGAAGAGAUCAAGCUGUGACCCAGGAUGAGCACAGCACAAAGUCCCAGGUCUAACACAGUGUUCAUGGAGUAGAAGGGAGGAAUCAGAGACUAGGACAAGACCGAGGAACUGCCAAUCUGGAACAGACCAGUGGUGCCUGCAGUCAAGUACCCGGCUUCCAGCAGAGGCCAAAUUUGGAUGCUUUAGAGGAAAAUCUUCGAUAGCAUCCCAGUUCCAGGAAGAGUGCAAUACGUCAAGUGUUUGCUCAUGUUGGGAUAGCUACAGAACUGUAACAGGGCAGACAGGCUAUUUAUAAGCAUAUCAGAUGUCAGCUGAGCUCUUUGCACUUUCUAUAGAUCAUACAUCAAGUCUAAUGAGAAGGAACACAGGCUGAGGGGAACAAAUGAGCACAGGGCAGAGAAGAGGUGUCCUCUUAAUACAAUACAUACAGGGAAGAACAGCAGCUGGCCCUGUGCCCAGCACUACUUACAAGGCCUCUGAAAGCUGAGCAAGAUCACUUUACUGACAACGCCGUGAGAAGGAAGGGUUGAGGAUUCUGGUUGUGAUGAUGGUUCUGCAUUAUUAGAUGGAGAAUUGUUUGCUCCUGAAAAAAAAAUGAUCCAAACCUAUUCAUAGAUAUUUCAUUAUGCUCUCUUCUAAGGACAUGCUGUGCCUAACAAAAUAAUAAGCCAGCUAAGGGGUUAAUUCUUUCUCUCUCCAAACCUACUAUAAGAAAGCUAGAAUACAGAUUUAAGCAUAGACAAAAGAUGAUAGUUGUUCCAAUUAAUGUUCCAGCUAGCAUCUGCUCUUUUUAAUUAGUUGAAGUCUGGUUUUGUCUGGAGACAGAACUGCUGAGCCGAAGUGUGCUGGCUUCUUUUCUGCUUAGCCGGCUAUUCUGAACUCUCUCGGUCUUUGGAAACUACUUCUCCGUUUCACAGAGGCCAGAGCCUUUUGUGCCUACAGGCCGUGUAUACAUUUCACUGCAACCAGCUUCAAAUCUGUGUUUCCCACUGGAGCAAAAGCUGACACAGAUAUUUUACAGAUGUCCUCUUCCCCCUACAGACACAUAUCUGUGCAUGGCUUCACUUAUCAGCAACUCAAUUUUCUUCUGCAAACAGGUAUUUUUGUAGAGCAGAUGCAGGUGGAUGGAGAAGGGUUCCCCAGGACCUGUUAACCUUCCUGUUUUGCUCGAAGCUCGAUGAUCCUUCACCUCACCCUUUGUAACAAGACCUCUGAGGAUCUGCGUGUUUCAAUUACACACAGAUGAAUAAUUUACAAGCCACGGCUGUUGCAAUAAACAAGUCCUUCUGCUCCGUCCAAGCACUCAACGGCUUGUCUUAAAUUUCCUUCACUUUGCUAAAACCUCCAUGACUUAAGCAGCAUUCAAAAACCUUUAAAGGAGAAGCUGAUGAGGGAAGAGCAGGGUGGCAUAUCACAGCAGCAAACAGCACUCACAGCGAGUACUCCUCUUAUCUCUGAGCAGGGCAUUGACCUGUUGUACAAACUCCAGGUAGGAAAGCCACUGGCAAAGCAACCCCAGAUGUAAUAUUUACCUAAGAGGAGACAUUUCAGUGGAAAACAAGCUACAGGAUCUGCUGACAUCCUGGUGGGGAGAACAGCGGGCAUUCACACAGGUGCAGGCAAAGGAAUAGGAACGGGAUGUGGAAACUUUCUAGCAUUUCCAAGUAAUAAAGCUGUUGUUGCAUGAC
Long non-coding RNA from Grus americana (Whooping crane), 2919 nucleotides. RefSeq lists it as uncharacterized. Lineage: Eukaryota; Metazoa; Chordata; Aves; Gruiformes; Gruidae. The transcript is spliced from 2 exons. The record is from RefSeq and is a predicted model, not a curated record.